ACUCCUACGGGAGGCAGCAGUGGGGAAUUUUGGACAAUGGGCGAAAGCCUGAUCCAGCAAUGCCGCGUGAGUGAAGAAGGACUUCGGGUUGUAAAGCUCUUUUGUCAGGGAAGAAACGGUGAAAGCUAAUAUCUUUUGCUAAUGACGGUACCUGAAGAAUAAGCACCGGCUAACUACGUGCCAGCAGCCGCGGUAAUACGUAGGGUGCAAGCGUUAAUCGGAAUUACUGGGCGUAAAGCGUGCGCAGGCGGUUUUGUAAGUCUGAUGUGAAAUCCCCGGGCUCAACCUGGGAAUUGCAUUGGAGACUGCAAGGCUAGAAUCUGGCAGAGGGGGGUAGAAUUCCACGUGUAGCAGUGAAAUGCGUAGAUAUGUGGAGGAACACCGAUGGCGAAGGCAGCCCCCUGGGUCAAGAUUGACGCUCAUGCACGAAAGCGUGGCGAGCAAACAGGAUUAGAAACCCUAGUAGUCC
Molecule: ribosomal RNA, 469 nt
Filed under: uncultured organism
Description: partial 16S ribosomal RNA
Rfam family: Bacterial small subunit ribosomal RNA
Source: RNAcentral